GCUACACAUGCAGUCGACGAUGAGCACCAGCUUGCUGGUGUGGAUUAGUGGCGAACGGGUGAGUAACACGUGAGUAACCUGCCCCUCACUCUGGGAUAAGCCUGGGAAACUGGGUCUAAUACUGGAUACGACCGAUCUCCGCAUGGAGUGUUGGUGGAAAGUUUUUGUGGUGGGGGAUGGACUCGCGGCCUAUCAGCUUGUUGGUGGGGUAAUGGCCUACCAAGGCGACGACGGGUAGCCGGCCUGAGAGGGCGACCGGCCACACUGGGACUGAGACACGGCCCAGACUCCUACGGGAGGCAGCAGUGGGGAAUAUUGCACAAUGGGCGAAAGCCUGAUGCAGCGACGCCGCGUGAGGGAUGACGGCCUUCGGGUUGUAAACCUCUUUCACCAGGACGAAGCUAACGUGACGGUACCUGGAGAAGAAGCACCGGCUAACUACGUGCCAGCAGCCGCGGUAAUACGUAGGUGCGAGCGUUGUCCGGAAUUAUUGGCGUAAAGAGCUUGUAGGCGGUUUGUCGCGUCUGCUGUGAAA
This 535-nucleotide ribosomal RNA is filed under the name bacterium fme09x44p69. RNAcentral describes it as "bacterial SSU rRNA". It matches the Rfam family "Bacterial small subunit ribosomal RNA", at positions 48 to 599 of the family's 1533-position model. The record is from RNAcentral.